GAUGAACGCUGGCGGCGUGCCUAAUACAUGCAAGUCGAGCGAACAGAUGAUGAGCUUGCUCCUCUGACGUUAGCGGCGGACGGGUGGGUAACACGUGGAUCACCUACCUAUAAGACUGGGAUAACUUCGGGAAACCGGAGCUAAUACCGGCUCAUAUAUUGAACCGCAUGGUUCAAUAGUGAAAGACGGUUUUGCUGUCACUUAUAGAUGGUUCCGCGCCGCAUUAGCUAGUUGGUAAGGUAACGGCUUACCAAGGCAACGAUGCGUAGCCGACCUGAGAGGAUGAUCGGCCACACUGGAACUGAGACACGGUCCAGACUCCUACGGGAGGCAGCAGUAGGGAAUAUUCCGCAAUGGGCGCAAGCCUGACGGAGCCAUGCCGCGUGAGUGAAGAAGGUCUUCGGAUCGUAAAACUCUGUUAUUAGGGAAGAAAAAAUGCGGAAUUAUCCAUGGAUGCUCUGACGGUACCCAAUGAGAAAGCCCCGGCUAACUUCGUG
This 497-nucleotide ribosomal RNA is filed under the name uncultured bacterium. RNAcentral's name for it is "partial 16S ribosomal RNA". It matches the Rfam family "Bacterial small subunit ribosomal RNA", at positions 28 to 507 of the family's 1533-position model. The record is from RNAcentral.